This 564-nucleotide ribosomal RNA is filed under the name uncultured Glomeromycotina. Its description in RNAcentral is "SSU rRNA". It matches the Rfam family "Eukaryotic small subunit ribosomal RNA", at positions 548 to 1114 of the family's 1831-position model. The record is from RNAcentral. Lineage: Eukaryota; Fungi; Glomeromycota.
UUGGAGGGCAAGUCUGGUGCCAGCAGCCGCGGUAAUUCCAGCUCCAAUAGUGUAUAUUAAAGUUGUUGCAGUUAAAAAGCUCGUAGUUGAACUUCGGGAUCAGAGUGUCGGUCGUGCCUCGGUACGCACUGGUAUUAUUGGUUCCUACCUUCUGAAGAACCGCGAUGUCAUUAAUUUGGUGUCGUGGGGAAUCAGGACUGUUACUUUGAAAAAAUUAGAGUGUUUAAAGCAAGCUAACGCUUGAAUACAUUAGCAUGGAAUAAUGAAAUAGGACGUUCGAUCCUAUUUUGUUGGUUUCUAGGAUUGACGUAAUGAUUAAUAGGGAUAGUUGGGGGCAUUAGUAUUCAAUUGUCAGAGGUGAAAUUCUUGGAUUUAUUGAAGACUAACUACUGCGAAAGCAUUUGCCAAGGAUGUUUUCAUUAAUCAAGAACGAAAGUUAGGGGAUCGAAGACGAUCAGAUACCGUCGUAGUCUUAACCAUAAACUAUGCCGACUAGGGAUCGGAUGAUGUUAAUUUUUUAAUGACUCAUUCGGCGCCUUACGGGAAACCAAAGUGUUUGGGUUC